GCAGUGGGGAAUAUUGCACAAUGGGCGCAAGCGUGAUGCAGCCCAAGACCGGCGUGUAUGAAGAAGGCGUUACGGGUUGUAAGAGUGCUUUACAGGUCGGGGAGGAACGUACUAUAUUAUUAAUAAGCGCAUGACGGACACGUCGAGUAAUAUCGGGCGCCACAGACUCCAGCCCGCGUCCGCAGUGGGGAAUAUUGCACAAUGGGCGCAAGCGUGAUGCAGCCCAAGACCGGCGUGUAUGAAGAAGGCGUUACGGGUUGUAAGAGUGCUUUACAGGUCGGGGAGGAACGUACUAUAUUAUUAAUAAGCGCAUGACGGACACGUCGAGUAAUAUCGGGCGCCACAGACUCCAGCCCGCGUCCGCAGUGGGGAAUAUUGCACAAUGGGCGCAAGCGUGAUGCAGCCCAAGACCGGCGUGUAUGAAGAAGGCGUUACGGGUUGUAAGAGUGCUUUACAGGUCGGGGAGGAACGUACUAUAUUAUUAAUAAGCGCAUGACGGACACGUCGAGUAAUAUCGGGCGCCACAGACUCCAGCCCGCGUCC
Molecule: ribosomal RNA, 543 nt
Filed under: uncultured beta proteobacterium
Lineage: Bacteria; Pseudomonadati; Pseudomonadota; Betaproteobacteria
Description: partial 16S ribosomal RNA
Source: RNAcentral